CUUCCUGAAAACACAGAGGACAUGUGAAUCCUGGGACUGCCGAUCUCACCGCUCCAGCUUCAGACCAGCAGCCCCACGGCGGUUCCAGGGAGAGGGUCAGUCUCCCACCUGGCACCUUCUUCCCAGGGGAUCUUCCUGACCCGAGGAUCGAACCUGCAUCUCCUCUGUCUCCUGCAUUGGCAGGCGGAUGCUCUACCACUGAGUCACCUGGGAAGCCCACAUGUUGUGAAAGCAAUGAAGUUAAGUCUCAGAGAUUCCAGGCUGUGAGGAAGACGGCGCCAGAUGGGACCCCACCUUGUAAACCCCUGGUCUUAGCUCAUCAGCCCAGGGUUAUUUUGUUUUCAGAUAUCCAUAAGGAUCCGAAUAAAAACAACGGAAGCACACCCUGACCCCCACCA
Long non-coding RNA from Bubalus bubalis (water buffalo), 398 nucleotides. RefSeq lists it as uncharacterized. The transcript has 3 exons. The record is from RefSeq and is a predicted model, not a curated record. Lineage: Eukaryota; Metazoa; Chordata; Mammalia; Artiodactyla; Bovidae.